CUUCCUACGGGGGGCAGCAGUGGGGGAUAUUGCACAAUGGGGGAAACCCUGAUGCAGCGACGCCGCGUGAGUGAAGAAGUAUUUCGGUAUGUAAAGCUCUAUCAGCAGGGAAGAAAAUGACAGUACCUGACCAAGAAGCCCCGGCUAACUACGUGCCAGCAGCCGCGGUAAUACGUAGGGGGCAAGCGUUAUCCGGAUUUAUUGGGUUUAAAGGGUGCGCAGGCGGAGGUGCAAGUCAGUGGUCAAAUUGCGGGGCUCAACCCCGUACUGCCGUUGAAACUGCAUCCCUUGAGUGCGCGAGAAGU
Molecule: ribosomal RNA, 305 nt
Filed under: uncultured bacterium
Lineage: Bacteria
Description: bacterial SSU rRNA
Rfam family: Bacterial small subunit ribosomal RNA
Source: RNAcentral